AGUUGUUCUGUCAGAGAGACAGUUGUCCGAUCAGAGGGGCAGUUGUCCCAUCAGAGGGGCAGUUGUCCCAUCAGAGGGGCAGUUGUCCCAUCAGAGGGGCAGUUGUCCCAUCAGAAGGGCAGUUGUCCCAUCAGAGGGGCAGUUAGCAGCUAACUAGGUGAGCAGGUUAGCGCAGGAUCAGCUGGAAAGAGGCUAACAUACUAUAAGCUAGGCUAAAGCUAAAAUAGCUGACUUGCUGACAAAAUGAUGAACUAAUCCCCCCUCUGUGUGUUCUAAUGGUUCUCUGUAUGUUCUAAUGGUUCUGUAUGUUCUAAUGGUUCUCUGUAUGUCCUAAAGGUUCUCUGUAUGUUCUAAUGGUUCUGUAUGUUCUAAUGGUUCUCUGUAUGUCCUAAAGGUUCUCUGUAUGUUCUAAUGGUUCUCUGUAUGUCCUAAAGGUUCUCUGUAUGUUCUAAUGGUUCUCUGUAUGUUCUAAUGGUUCUGUAUGUUCUAAUGGUUCUGUAUGUUCUAAUGGUUCUCUGUAUGUCAUAAAGGUUCUCUGUAUGUUCUAAAGGUUCUCUGUAUGUUCUAAUGGUUCUCUGUAUGUCCUAAAGGUUCUCUGUAUGUUCUAAUGGUUCUCUGUAUGUUCUAAUGGUUCUGUAUGUUCUAAUGGUUCUCUGUAUGUUGUAAUGGUUUCUUUUUCGGUGGUUCUAAGGUUCUCCUCCUACCUGAACAGGGUUGUCCUGCCCCCUCCUCCUCCUCCAUCUCUCUGUCCGUCGGUCAUGUGACGUCGCCUCACCUGCCUCCUCACCUGCCGCAGCGGGUCGGGCGCCCGACGCUCGCUGUCGCCGCAGCGACGAGAGAAGAA
This is a long non-coding RNA of Acanthochromis polyacanthus (spiny chromis), 844 nucleotides long. RefSeq lists it as uncharacterized. The record is from RefSeq and is a predicted model, not a curated record. Lineage: Eukaryota; Metazoa; Chordata; Actinopteri; Pomacentridae. The transcript is spliced from 3 exons.